AUUUACAGCCAUAUUACCCUGAACACAUCCUAUCUCAUAAGAUUUCAGAAGCUAAGCAGGGUCAUGCCUGAUCAGUACUUGAAUAGGAGAAAUAGUGCAAGUC
RNAcentral lists this ribosomal RNA (103 nucleotides) under Carlito syrichta (Philippine tarsier). Lineage: Eukaryota; Metazoa; Chordata; Mammalia; Primates; Tarsiidae. The record is from RNAcentral.